This 1584-nucleotide ribosomal RNA is filed under the name Triticum aestivum (bread wheat). RNAcentral's name for it is "partial small subunit ribosomal RNA". Lineage: Eukaryota; Viridiplantae; Streptophyta; Magnoliopsida; Poales; Poaceae. The record is from RNAcentral.
AUGUGGGCUGUGACCCAAGAGCCUCUAGCAUCCUGUCACAGGAACCGGCUCUUUCGCCGCGCCAGCAAGUUCUGGGUCACCACCCCCCAUGCUGCACACCUCGUCAAGCAUCUCAAAGGUACAAGGCUUACCGGAAUGUCGUGCGCUGCGUGCAGAAGAAAGGAUGUGGCGUUCGCAUAUAGCGUGUCAUCGGUGGCAAAGACACCAACGUCCAGUGGGCAUUACCAAAGUCUCCCAUCGCAGCCUUGCAGCUGCAGGCUCCCCCUCCUCCUCCCUUCCUCCCUCUCUCCCUCCACCGUCUUCUCCUUCAAUCACCGCAUCCCCGGCGACCCCAAGAAUCCGAGGCGUGAUCGCCCCAAAUCGCACCCCAUCUCCCUCGCCCAAAAUCCCAACGAAUCUCGCGUCACAUCAAGGGAUGCAAGAAUCAUGAAUCACCAAGUAUAUUCAUCAACAAUCCGGGAAGAAACCCCUGUCCGCGGUGGUCUGGCCAUGGACACAGACCUGCUGCUCCCCAUCACCGCGCCACGGCCCCUCCACCCGCUGCCGGACCCCACCACCCGCCACCGUUGCUCCCACCACCCGCCGCUGCUGCUCCCACCGCUGCCACCGCCUCCUCCCCAGCCACCGUCGAACCACUACCACCGCGACCUCGAUCCAAAUCAGAGGCACGGGAGAAGGAAGAACGGCCGCCGAAGACGGAUGGCCGGAGAAGAAGACCGCCGGCGGCGCCCUACCCGGAUGGAUCGAGCGAACCCGUGCUCGUGUGUGGGCCACCAAGCCGAUGCUCGACCCGGCACGGGGGAGGGGCUGGCCCCGAGGAGCGGGGAGCCGGCGAAUCUGACGGCCAGGUGCUGGGCGGCGCCCUCCAUCAUCGCCGUCCUUUGGGAGGGGCGCGGUCCCGGUCGAGGUGGUGUGGGGCGGGCGGCGCGGGGCAGGAGGUGGCGGCAGGAUGGAGGUGGAGAAGGGAUCGAGGAGGCAGGGUCGUGCGGGGCGCCGGGCUUUCUUUUCUUCUUUACUCUCCUCUGUACCGGUUCGGGUACACAAAUAUACUCAGAUGCAGCUUGGUCGUUGGAGCCAGGACAAGCUGUAGCAAAGGCGGACAUAGGUGUUUUCUUACAAAUUAACGGGCAACAUACCGAACAUGUAUACAUCUCUGCUGUGUCGCCACCAGUAGCAUCAGCUCUGCAGGUAGAAGCUUAUGGACUGCUGUUGGCGGUGAAGAUUGCAGCUCAACUACAUGUGCAGGAUCCGAAGUUUUUGACAGACUCUGCCGUGCUUGCCUCAGCUGUUGUAGAACCUGAUGUUACUAAAGCGGGUCCGUGGGCUAUCCGGCCAAUCUUAGCUGCUAUCCAGACCACACCUUCAUUUCGUCCAUGCAGAAUACUCAAAGUGCACAGGAGUCUGAAUUUCAAGGCACACCAUCAGGCUAGACUUGCUGUCAAAGUGCAAGAUAAACCUUUCAGCUCUACUUGCCUACAUUCAGAUCAAGGUUUAGAUACUAAUAUGGAACGAUGUCCUGCCUGCAAUGAGCUAUCAGCAAUGAGUGCUCAGCCACUCAAGCUGCUAUUUGCAAAGUGUGCUUAA